UUUUUUUGAGAGAGGGAUAGGUAGCACAUACGCUACCCGCUUUGUUUUAUUUCAUUUAGAAAUAAACUUAGCUGGAAAUGUGAAUCAACUAGGAUUCGGGUCUCAGAUACCAACCACCAAGCCCUUUGUCACUUACUCUAGGGACGGUCGGUACUACACCAUUCUCUGUUGUUUUGCAAUUCGUGCAUUUUAUUUAAUGUAUGGUAAGUUUUUUAAGCUAUUUCCAAACAUUGUGGGGAUUGUACUUCGUCAUAAGUUUUUGUUUCCAUUAUUGGCUUUAGUACUUCAGAGGAUGGAUGUGCUUUUCUGGAAAGUAUUAUUAUUUUUUUUUUUUUUUGAAAAAAAGGUAGCACGCUAUCCACUUCAUUUAUUUUGAAAAUGAACUUGGCUACAAACAGUGAGGCAACAUGGUGUCGAGAAAAAAAAUAUAGCUCAAAGAAAAAAGAAAAAGAAAAAAGAAAUAAUAACAAAAGUAAUCGACAGGUUAUUCAGCUCAACAAAAGUCCCUCCACUCUCUUACCAACUCCUUGAUAUGCCCGACUACAAAGAGAGGGUUCAGCAAAGUGGUUUUUAAAAAUCGCGUUAUUUCUGGAAAGUAAUUUUAAGAGCAUAUUAUGAUAGAAUUU
RNAcentral lists this long non-coding RNA (626 nucleotides) under Ananas comosus (pineapple). RNAcentral describes it as "long non-coding RNA (ACOM_LNC012367)". Lineage: Eukaryota; Viridiplantae; Streptophyta; Magnoliopsida; Poales; Bromeliaceae. The record is from RNAcentral.